AGAGUUUGAUCCUGGCUCAGAUUGAACGCUGGCGGCAUGCUUUACACAUGCAAGUCGAGCGGCAGCGCGGGGCAACCCUGGCGGCGAGCGGCGAACGGGUGAGUAAUACAUCGGAACGUGUCCCGUAGUGGGGGAUAACCCGGCGAAAGCCGGGACUAAUACCGCAUAUGCUCUACGGAGGAAAGCGGGGGAUUCGCAAGAACCUCGCGCUAUGGGAGCGGCCGAUGUCCGAUUAGCUUGUUGGUGAGGUAAUGGCUUACCAAGGCGACGAUCGGUAGCUGGUCUGAGAGGAUGAUCAGCCACACUGGGACUGAGACACGGCCCAGACUCCUACGGGAGGCAGCAGUGGGGAAUUUUGGACAAUGGGGGCAACCCUGAUCCAGCCAUGCCGCGUGCGGGAAGAAGGCCUUCGGGUUGUAAACCGCUUUUGUCCGGAAAGAAAAGGCGCCUCCUAAUACGGGGCGUCCUUGACGGUACCGGAAGAAUAAGCACCGGCUAACUACGUG
Molecule: ribosomal RNA, 506 nt
Filed under: uncultured Burkholderiales bacterium
Lineage: Bacteria; Pseudomonadati; Pseudomonadota; Betaproteobacteria; Burkholderiales
Description: bacterial SSU rRNA
Rfam family: Bacterial small subunit ribosomal RNA
Source: RNAcentral